GGGAAAAAUAAAUUUUAGCGCCA
This 23-nucleotide non-coding RNA is filed under the name Arabidopsis thaliana (thale cress). Lineage: Eukaryota; Viridiplantae; Streptophyta; Magnoliopsida; Brassicales; Brassicaceae. The record is from RNAcentral.